CUCUCUCUGCUCCUCCCCCACUCAUGCUCUCUCUCAAAAUAAAUAAAUAACUUUACCUAAAUAAAUACAUAGUAAAAAAAUUAUAAAACAAACAACUGGGUAACCACCACUCAAUCCCCAGAAGCCCCCAACAUCUCCCAGUUGCAACCCCCUUUCCUGGAGGCCGCCAUCUUGAUUUUUAUAGUGAUCUCUUUAUUGCCUUGUUGUGUGGUUUUAGCAUGUAGGUGCACCUCCCUGGGCCUGUCUUUCAGCUUUACACAAGUGAAAUCAUACUGGAUGGAUUAUUUUGUGUCUUCUUUCUUUCACUCAGCUUUACAUCUGUGAGACUUCCAUGUGGACAUGGGCAGUUGGUUAUUUUCAAAGCCGUUGGCCACGAAUAUAUUGCAAUAGAGUAGUUCCCCCCCCCCCCCGCUGUUUAGCUAUUAUGAAAAAUGCCACUGUGAACACACUUACUCAUGUGCUGUAUACAUGUGUGGCAGAGCCUAUCUGUUACACAUAUAUGGAAGGUUGCUUGGUCAUACAGCAUGCAUAUCUAUAAAUCCCAGCCGUUUUCCAAAGAGAUUAUGUCAAUUUUCACUCCCAGAAACUAUUCUUAAGUCUUUCCAUUGUUCUACAUCCUUGUCAGCCUAUGAUAUUAUUAGCUUGUUUGUUUGUUUGUUUGUUUUUCAUGCAUCCUAAUCUAGUGGUUGGGGUUGCUGUCUCACUGUGUUUGACUUGCGUUUCCAUGAAUGCUAAAGACAGGGAGCACCCUUUGGGAUGUUUGUGGUUGCUUGGAUUGCCCUUCCCGUCAAAGUCCCUUUCCCAUCCUCUGUUGGGUACCUGAGUCCUCUGUUUCAGAGACGUUUGUUUCAAGUUGCUUUGGCACCGUGGAUCAGAACAGAAAUGGUUCGAGGAGACCCUUAAGUGUACUUCCUAGGAUGCUUUAGUCGCCAAGUGAGACAGCCCCCUACUGUCACUGGCUUAAGGACAUUGUCUAGUGGUGAAUCCCAGCUCAGUUAUACAAACAGGAACCCCGUUUUCUCUGCCCUCCUCUCAUCCACAAGGUGUUUUGUGUCAGGAUUUCAAGAGUCCCCCAAAUGGUAAGUAGAACUGGUUGCUUCUUUGUUCACACCCAUCAGAAAAGAGAAUCCGAAACUUUUCACUGACCCGUGUAAUCUCUGUCCUUCCCUUCAGUUUCCAGGGGCCCUUUCUGCGGAGCAGUGCCUGUCACCGGGAAUGCCAGGCUUUGACUGGGUUCAUGAGCGUCUCUUGUAGGAUAAAAUGAAAAGGAUGGGGGGAAGGUCAAUCUCAAAUGGCCAUCACAUUAUACCACCAAGCCUGCAGCUUUCAAAAAUGAUUUUUUUUUUAAUUUUCAGAGUAAAAUUCACUCUUUUGGUAUACGGUUCUCUGAGUUUUGACAAACUUAGAGUCCUGAAACCACCACCACAAUUAAGAUUUGGGAUAGCUCCCGUCAUCCCAAAACGCCGCUGUGCUGCCCUUUUGUAGCCGAUAGGUCGCUCUGCCCUUCCUUCCCACACCCCCCACCGCUGGAAACACUGACCUGUUCUUCAUCCCUAUAAUUUUGCCUCUUCCAAAAUGUGAUCUAAAUGCAAUGCUAUAGGAUGUCCCCUUUUGAGUCUGGCUUCUUUCACUUAAUAUGAUGUAUCUGAGAUUGGCCCAUGUGUGGAGUGCAUCAAUAUGUUGUAUGGAGGUACCACAGGUUGUUUAUCCGUACACAGCUGAAGGACAACCGGCUUGUUUCUACUUGGGGGUGACAAUGAACGAAGCUGCUGUAAACCUAAGUUUAUGAACGUAAGUUCCCAUUUCUCCUGGGUCUCAACACCCAGACGUGGAUCCCUGGGUGCUGGGUCGUAUGUUAAGAGUAUGUGUAACGUUAUGAAAAACUGCCAAACUGUUUUCCAAAGUGGCUGGAUCAUUCUGUAUCCCCACCAGCGAUGAAUGAGAACUCUCUUGCCUCUAAAGAGAGCUUAGUGGGCACGGAAGUGCUUUGCAGAGAGUGAGGGCGCUACUCAGGGCACCGACGUGGGGGAAUUCAGAGGCGAUGGUUCUGAACUCUCAGCUCCCGUGGGCUCCUGGCCCACCUCGCUGUGUGCAGACAGGCCAUGUCUAUUUCCAGGGCAUUUGCUUCUCCGAAGGGAGACGGGGCAACAUCACUCUGCCCAUUUCGCAAGGGAGGGCAUAGCACUGCUUUUCUCGGGUGAGCCAGCGUGGCUUUAUCUAGUAACCAUCGGGAGCAGGAUUCCAUCGGCCUCGUAUUUUAUUCCAAAACUCACAAAGUAAAAUGAAGUAUGGGCAUUUGGAGCAUUGUUACGCUGUGUGGCAAGAACUAGGCAAGGACCACAUCCAAAUGCACCAUCAGAAUGUCAGAGCUGGCAGGGACCUUAGCAACUCUCACUUUAGACCUGGUAACCUGUCACACACCCGGGUCCCCAAAAGCACAGGACUCUGCAUUCCAGAUGCAGGGCAGGGGCUCACCAAAGGUGAGCUGGGACAGGCUCAUCAAUCAGGGUAGCUAUGCACCGGGGAGCAGAGAUGAGGCAUCCCCCACACCUUCUCGUCUUUCAUCUGAGUGCCCAUUUCUGAGGCACCUUCGCAUUUCAAACGUCCUGAGAAUAUGUUUAAUUAGAACUUGGCCAUACAGCCUUUUGAAAUAAAACAGAAGGGGCCGGCUAAUUAUAUCUCUCAGCAUUCUGUGGCAAACAUAUAUUUUUUUAAUAAAACACUUUCCUAACCAGAGUAAUCCCUGGAGAUGCAAAUCCUCAUUUAUGAGAAGUUUCCCAAAGGGAGUUAAAGAGAAGAUGCCUUAUACAGAAAAGAGACAAAGAGAGUGGAGAAGUGUCUUCAAAGAGCUUGUAAAAGAUUAUUUCUUCAGGAUGACAUCCCAAAAGUAAAAUGAUGGAAUCAAAGGUUAAACCUUUACCUAACACAACACCGGCUGCAGAACAGACAGGACUUCAGCCAGUACGGUUACAAGCGUUCAUGGGGAGGCUCUUGACCAAUUCCUUACUCAAGGCCUUUCCUCUGGAACAGGCAAUUCUUAAUUUUGUUGUAGCUGCAUUAAAACAAAAAAGGCAAAAGAAA
Long non-coding RNA from Felis catus (domestic cat), 3081 nucleotides. RefSeq lists it as uncharacterized. The transcript has 2 exons. Lineage: Eukaryota; Metazoa; Chordata; Mammalia; Carnivora; Felidae. The record is from RefSeq and is a predicted model, not a curated record.